CACAUGCAGUCGAGCGGAGAGAGGUAGCUUGCUACUGAUCUUAGCGGCGGACGGGUGAGUAAUACUUAGGAAUCUGCCUAUUAGUGGGGGACAACAUCUCGAAAGGGAUGCUAAUACCGCAUACGUCCUACGGGAGAAAGCAGGGGAUCUUUAUGACCUUGCGCUAAUAGAUGAGCCUAAGUCGGAUUAGCUAGUUGGUGGGGUAAAGGCCUACCAAGGCGACGAUCUGUAGCGGGUCUGAGAGGAUGAUCCGCCACACUGGGACUGAGACACGGCCCAGACUCCUACGGGAGGCAGCAGUGGGGAAUAUUGGACAAUGGGGGGAACCCUGAUCCAGCCAUGCCGCGUGUGUGAAGAAGGCCUUAUGGUUGUAAAGCACUUUAAGCGAGGAGGAGGCUUACCUGGUUAAUACCCAGGAUAAGUGGACGUUACUCGCAGAAUAAGCACCGGCUAACUCUGUGCCAGCAGCCGCGGUAAUACAGAGGGUGCAAGCGUUAAUCGGAUUUACUGGGCGUAAAGCGCGCGUAGGCGGCCAAUUAAGUCAAAUGUGAAAUCCCCGAGCUUAACUUGGGAAUUGCAUUCGAUACUGUUUGGCUAGAGUGUGGGAGAGGAUGGUAGAAUUCCAGGUGUAGCGGUGAAAUGCGUAGAGAUCUGGAGGAAUACCGAUGGCGAAGGCAGCCAUCUGGCCUAACACUGACGCUGAGGUGCGAAAGCAUGGGGAGCAAACAGGAUUAGAUACCCUGGUAGUCCAUGCCGUAAACGAUGUCUACUAGCCGUUGGGGCCUUUGAGGCUUUAGUGGCGCAGCUAACGCGAUAAGUAGACCGCCUGGGGGAGUACGGUCGCAAGACUAAAACUCAAAUGAAUUGACGGGGGCCCGCACAAGCGGUGGAGCAUGUGGUUUAAUUCGAUGCAACGCGA
RNAcentral lists this ribosomal RNA (919 nucleotides) under Acinetobacter sp. 3_SBR2. RNAcentral describes it as "bacterial SSU rRNA". It matches the Rfam family "Bacterial small subunit ribosomal RNA", at positions 52 to 964 of the family's 1533-position model. Lineage: Bacteria; Pseudomonadati; Pseudomonadota; Gammaproteobacteria; Moraxellales; Moraxellaceae. The record is from RNAcentral.